UAGGGGGCGCUCUGGUAAAGUUACCUUCCUUUUAACACACACACACACUCUCUCUCUCUCUCUCUCUCUCUCUCUCUCUGUUCAUCAGUAAAGCAGCAGCUGAGCUCUUUACUCAUUGAACUUGAAAACCUGCUGGAAACGCUUUCACCGGAGCUGCUGCUGCUGAUAACCGACAAACAUGUUCUGCAGACGGGCAUGGCAGAGAGUCGGGCCGCUGGCACGGAAGGCUUUCAAACCGGCAUCCACAAACACGACUCCAGUACGACACAUGGCCUUUGGGGUCCCUGGAGGCUCCAACAACAUGACAUAUUUUGUUUUGUGUGGAGGAGGCCUCACUGCUGCAGUCGUCUAUGCCUACAAGACAGUCAACGGUGAUACUGAGGACAAACUCGCCAACACAGGCUCAGCGGCAAAAGCUCCUGCAGCCGAAGCAGCACCAGAGGCAGCAGCUCCUGCAGCUGAACCUGCUCCAGUGGAGGAAGCUGCACCAGUCGUCGAGGUCGCUGUCGAGUCUGUCGCUGCUGCUGUAGAACCAGUAGCAGAAACCGCCGCCGAACCUGUCGCCGAGGCUGCAUCUGAAGAAGCUCCCGCUGUGGCUGUCGAAGCUGUUGUCGCCGAGCCUGCAGCCGAGCCUGCAGCCACAGAAGAAGCCGCUGCUCCUGCGGCAGCCGUGGAAGCUGCACCUGAAGCCGCUGUGGAAGUCCCUGCUGCUGUGGAAGUCGCUGCCGCUGUGGAGGCACCAGCAGAAGCCCCAACAGCAGAGAGCACUGAGUCUAUGCCAGAUCUGCUCACAGCUGUGAAGAUCUUGGCCAGCUCUCCAGUUGAGAUCGCAGCCGCUUCAGUUGGUGAGACAAGUCUGGUGACAGCUGUCCGACAAAUUGAAAGUGAAGAAAAAGGAGUGGAGUCCACACAGGAGGUGUUGGAACCAGAAGCUCUGGAGGCAACUCCAGAGGUGACAGCUAAAGAGGCAUCAGAGGAGCCAGCUGCUGUAGAAAGCGAAGAGGAGCUGAAGUCUGCAGAGCCUGAGGAGGUGCCUGGAAAUGAUGAAGCAUCGGCUCCAGCUGCAGAAGAAGCGAUAACAGAGGAGACAUCUGCUCCUGCUGCUGCAGAGGAGGAGGAAGCUGCUGCUGCUUCUUCUGAGGAAACUGCUGCAGGCCCCACAGUGGAGGAGGCUGAGGCUGAAGGUCAGGAACUACAGGCAGAAACUGCUCCUGAAGAUGCUGCUCCCACUGAGGAAGCUCCUUCUGUUGCGGAGGUCACCAUUACUGCUGAAGCUGCUCCAGUGGAUGAAACAUCAGCACAGGAGGAAGCAGCUGGUGAAACAUCAGCACAGGAGGAAGCAGCUGGUGAAACAUCACCACAGGAGGAAGCAGCUGGUGAAACAUCACCACAGGAGGAAGCAGUUGGUGAAACAUCAGCAGAGGAGGUAGGAGCUGGUGAAACAUCAGCAGAGGAGGUAGCAGCUGGUGAAACAUCAGCAGAAGAAGCUCCGGCAGAGGAAGCAGUCAUUGGCGUGACUCAGCUGGCAGCAGCCUCUACUGGCCCGGACCUGGAGGUUCUUUCAGCUGCAGAGCCAGAAUCUCCAGCGCAUGAGGAGGAACAUUGCCACUCCUGCCACUCUGCUCCAGCAGCAGCAGCAGAGGAGGUGGCGCCAUCUGCUGCUUUGGGAGAGAAGCUGGUCACUGAGGGAGCUCUGGAUAUUACACUUGAAGUCAAUGAGGCCACAUCACUGGUGGAGGGACAAGAGCCACAGGUGUCUAGCUGGACUGUAAAAAGCUGCUCAGUGAUGUAAUAUUGCAGUUUAGAAGGGACGAUGGCGGUGGCGACAGCCCAGUCGUGACAGCGUGCCUUCCAUAACACUCUUCCUAUCUGUCGAUCAAACCAGGAUGACUGAUGGAAAACACAGGAAAGGAGUAGCUGCAGAUUAACUAUCUAAUGUGCCCUUUCUGAAGCGUUACCACAGAGUUCUGUUUUACUUGUGCAGUCAGUGUUAGCAUGUGUGAAAUGAUUCCAGUGAUUGUCCUCUAGGUGCUGCUGCUGCCAAACCUUUCGUGACCAGCUGAGGUUCUUGCAGUCUGCAGCGGAGUGGAAGUGAUUUGCUGUUGCUGUAAUUUUGUGAUAGGCUGCACACAAGAGAUUAGGUGGGGCUGCACCUACUGUGUAUGUCAUUUACCUGCUUGUGUCAGAUGAGAUUAUAGCCAAGAGAUGUACUUUUUGUCACUUUUUCCUGUAAUACAAGUGCAGGUGCAAAUAUGAGUAUCUUGAAGUACUUCAGAGCAUUACACUUUUAAAAUGUUGCUCAUUUAAAAUGGAUGCAUUUCUAGAUUUUAAAAAAAAAAUCCCAAAAUCCAAAUGAAAAUGUUACACUAAGGUUUUUAAAGCUGAUGUAUGUAAUAGCAAGUCCAGAUUUGGUGCAUGUAUCUUCCUUUUUGAGGUGUUGUUGUUUGAAUUUUACCCUGUACAAUAAAAGAUUUCUAAAUCACAUUUAAGCUCAAACUAAGAUAAAUUCGUUUGAUUGUACUGAACAGCAAUGCUUCCACUUAUCUAAAAGUUGUACAAGGACACAAAUGAUUUACUGUUAAAUGCGGGAAUGAAAAAGUUAUCAGUGCAAUGAAUUCCUGCUGUCAUUGCCGGCUCUCUAUUUUGAUACCAUUAAUUACUGUAUUCAGCAGAACUAUACUAGAAACCAAAACUAAACAAUAUCAAUAAAGUUUAUAUCCACACAUAUGCAAACAUUUGUGUAGAUACAAAUAUUUCCACUUAUAUACAUACAUACUGAGGAAGACAGUGAGAGAAGAUAGAUGUAGAUGUAGAAGCAGAUGGAUACAUUGUUUCAAAUACAGUUGCAUGUGUAUUGUAUAAAUGCCCAUAUAUGCUAUUAAAUUAUGAAUAUAUAGUGUUUAUUUAGUAAAUUGUAAUACAAGCAAAGUCUCUGUUGAUAACGAGCUCAUCUUUUAAAUAAAGUGAUGUGGAAACAAUUAAA
Amphiprion ocellaris (clown anemonefish) is the source of this 2983-nucleotide long non-coding RNA. Lineage: Eukaryota; Metazoa; Chordata; Actinopteri; Pomacentridae. The record is from Ensembl.